Non-coding RNA from Phrynosoma platyrhinos (Desert horned lizard), 72 nucleotides. The record is from the annotation of a GenBank genome assembly. Lineage: Eukaryota; Metazoa; Chordata; Lepidosauria; Squamata; Phrynosomatidae.
GCCAGCAUGAUGUAGUGGUUUGAGUGUUAGACUACGACUCUGGAGGCCAGGGUUCAAAUUCCCGCUCAGCCA